Molecule: ribosomal RNA, 778 nt
Filed under: uncultured bacterium
Lineage: Bacteria
Description: bacterial SSU rRNA
Rfam family: Bacterial small subunit ribosomal RNA
Source: RNAcentral
AUGCAAGUCGCACGAGAAAGCCCCUUUCGGGGGGCGAGUAAAGUGGCAAACGGGUGAGUAACGCAUGAAUAACCUGCCCUCAAAUCCGGGAUAACACCUUGAAAAGGGUGCUAAAACUGGAUAAGACCACGGUUUACAAUGGUAGUGGUAAAAGGUAGCCUCUGUAUAUCAAGCAUCGUUUGAGGAGGGGUUCAUGUAUCAUUAGCUUGUUGGUAGGGUAAUGGCCUACCAAGGCUACGAUGAUUAGCCGGCCUGAGAGGGUGACCGGCCACACUGGGAUUGAGAUACGGCCCAGACUCCUACGGGAGGCAGCAGUGGGGAAUUUUGCGCAAUGGGGUAACCCCUGACGCAGCAACGCCGCGUGGAGGAUGAAGGCCUUUGGGUUGUAAACUCCUGUCAGAAGGGAAGAAUGGCAGAUAGGUUAAUAGCCUGUCUGAUUGACGGUACCUUCAGAGGAAGCCACGGCUAACUCCGUGCCAGCAGCCGCGGUAAUACGGAGGUGGCGAGCGUUGUUCGGAUUUAUUGGGCGUAAAGGGCGUGUAGGCGGCUAUAUAAGUUAGGCGUGAAAUACUGCGGCUCAACCGUAGAACUGCGUCUGAUACUGUAUGGCUUGAGUACAGGAGAGGAGAGCGGAAUUCCCAGUGUAGCGGUGAAAUGCGUAGAUAUUGGGAGGAACACCGGUGGCGAAGGCGGCUCUCUGGACUGAUACUGACGCUGAGGCGCGAAAGCUAGGGGAGCAAACGGGAUUAGAUACCCCGGUAGUCCUAGCUGUAAACGA